GUGCUUGCUUUGGCAGCAUAUAUUACUAAAACUGGAACGAUAAAGAAAAGAUUAGCAUGGCCCCUGAGUAAGUAUGACAUGCAAAUUUGUGAAGCAUUCCAUAUUUUU
Molecule: small nuclear RNA, 108 nt
Filed under: Propithecus coquereli (Coquerel's sifaka)
Lineage: Eukaryota; Metazoa; Chordata; Mammalia; Primates; Indriidae
Source: RNAcentral